Molecule: unclassified non-coding RNA, 348 nt
Filed under: soil metagenome
Description: partial contains 5.8S ribosomal RNA, internal transcribed spacer 2, and large subunit ribosomal RNA
Rfam family: 5.8S ribosomal RNA (bases 1-120)
Source: RNAcentral
GAUGAAGAACGUAGCGAAAUGCGAUAAGUAAUGUGAAUUGCAGAAUUCAGUGAAUCAUCGAAUCUUUGAACGCACAUUGCGCCCGCCAGUAUUCUGGCGGGCAUGCCUGUCUGAGCGUCAUUUCAACCCUCAUGCCCCUAGGGCGUGGUGUUGGGGAUCGGCCAAAGCCCGCGAGGGACGGCCGGCCCCUAAAUCUAGUGGCGGACCCGUCGUGGCCUCCUCUGCGAAGUAGUGAUAUUCCGCAUCGGAGAGCGAUGAGCCCCUGCCGUUAAACCCCCAACUUUCCAAGGUUGGCCUCAGAUCAGGUAGGAAUACCCGCUGAACUUAAGCAUAUCAAUAAGCGGAGGA